GGUGUCCAACUACUACUACUACUAGCAAGAUACUAGAAAGGUGUACCUAAUAAAGUGUCUGCUAAGUGUAAGUUAAUACAAGUUAAGUUGUAAGUUAAUGCAAACAGGUUGCCAGAUAAAUGUUAAUACCACAAUAUUCAUGUACAAACACACACACACACACACACACACACACCAUAUUUCGGAUUCUUUCCCCUCAGCUAGCUUAAUAUCUGAAAACACUUUGGUAGCUAUUUGGUAUUUAAGGGCAAUGUUUUAAUUCCAGUUCCUCUUCAUUAAACUGAAAGCACAGACUGUAUUUUUUAAUUGAUAUAUAUAUAUAUAUAUAUAUAUAUAUAUUAAUAACUACAAUACACUGAAAGAGUUAACUGUUAACAAGUCGUCAGGGGAGACUAUCCUAAACUCCAGUUCAGGUUUUCCAAGCAACACCUGCUAACCGAGAAAUUCAAUUAAGGGCUCCUCUUCCCACUUGGAGCCGGUCUCCAGGGCAGAUCUUCCGGCCAACUCGCCCUGUAAGAAAUUAGAAAAUGCUACAAUAAAACCUGAAAAAACUGAAAAAAAUGUGGGAACUUUAAUAAUGAAAGCUCUCACACCGGCCACCGUAAGCACACUCACACCUCCCCUGAGUUGGAAGUCACCGAGAGACAGCGAAGUAGCACAGAUCAUUCAAGGAAAGCCAUCUUCUAUAUUAAAAAUGCCACUGAUAGUACAACACCAGAAAUCAGAUGGCAGUAGAGUGAGCAUCGGCCAGAGGCGAUAACUCCUCAGCGGAUUAGUCUUCAGCAGACAUUAUUCAACAGGAAGAUGAGGUGAGCUCCUGUACGCAGUGACUCCCCAGGAAGAGAAAACGAGGUAGGACAAAUCCCCAACAUGACUGAUUACUGUCCCCACCAUCUCCCCUGUUCAUAUCUCCAACAAUAUCAGGCAUCUUCAUUAAUCCCCGUGGAUCAAUGUGUCUGGGGGUUGUAAAAAUUGACAAAUGACUUAUUAGAAUCCCACCGUUUUAUUUUCCAACUGAUUAACUCACAGCGAUGUUGUACACUAUACAGGCUCACUGAUGUAUCUGUUUUCCAGAGAGGGCCCCCUCGCUCUCUCUUUCUCUCUCUCUCUCUCUGUGCCUUUCUUACUGUGGGUGAUCUAUACGGAACCAAAUGCACUCCUAACACUGCGUGUGAAACCCUGUCAGGCUGACGCAAAAACUACUACAACCGAAUUAUGCUUUUUCCUAUAAAUACACCCAUUUUGUUUCCUGACAUAAACAGCUGUUGAGAAGUGUGUUAGCUGACUUGCUUAUUUACAUAUAGAAUAUAAAAAUACAACUAAUAAUCUAUUAGAGAACUGGAACUUUGCACUGGCGGUAAUAAAAUCAGCAUGUUAUAGUGCUGCGGUUUCUCCAUUUUUGCACGCUAUACUCUUCUUAUCUGGGGAACCGUUCUUUUAUGCCUGUUUUAUGUUUAGAUGUUGUUGUAGCAGCAUCCCACAUUGUCAUCUCGACGAAAU
RNAcentral lists this long non-coding RNA (1500 nucleotides) under Oreochromis niloticus (Nile tilapia). RNAcentral describes it as "lncRNA (ENSONIG00000040163.1)". Lineage: Eukaryota; Metazoa; Chordata; Actinopteri; Cichliformes; Cichlidae. The record is from RNAcentral.